RNAcentral lists this ribosomal RNA (253 nucleotides) under uncultured bacterium. RNAcentral describes it as "partial 16S ribosomal RNA". It matches the Rfam family "Bacterial small subunit ribosomal RNA", at positions 524 to 776 of the family's 1533-position model. The record is from RNAcentral.
GACAGAGGGUGCGAACGUUGUUCGGAAUCACUGGGCGUAAAGGGCGUGUAGGCGGGAAGGAAAGUCAGAUGUGAAAGCCCUGGGCUCAACCCAGGAACUGCAUUUGAAACUCCCUUUCUUGAGUGUCGGAGAGGAAAGCGGAAUUCCUGGUGUAGAGGUGAAAUUCGUAGAUAUCAGGAGGAACACCGGUGGCGAAGGCGGCUUUCUGGACGACAACUGACGCUGAGACGCGAAAGCGUGGGGAGCAAACGGG